AGUGAACGCUGGCGGUAGGCCUAACACAUGCAAGUCGAACGGCAGCACAGUAAGAGCUUGCUCUUACGGGUGGCGAGUGGCGGACGGGUGAGGAAUACAUCGGAAUCUACUUUUUCGUGGGGGAUAACGUAGGGAAACUUACGCUAAUACCGCAUACGACCUACGGGUGAAAGCAGGGGAUCUUCGGACCUUGCGCGAUUGAAUGAGCCGAUGUCGGAUUAGCUAGUUGGCGGGGUAAAGGCCCACCAAGGCGACGAUCCGUAGCUGGUCUGAGAGGAUGAUCAGCCACACUGGAACUGAGACACGGUCCAGACUCCUAAGGGAGGCAGCAGUGGGGAAUAUUGGACAAUGGGCGCAAGCCUGAUCCAGCCAUACCGCGUGGGUGAAGAAGGCCUUCGGGUUGUAAAGACCUUUUGUCGGGAAAGAAAAGCAGCAGGUUAAUAACCCGCUGUUCUGACGGUACCCAAAGAAUAAGCACCGGCUAACUUCGUG
This 492-nucleotide ribosomal RNA is filed under the name uncultured bacterium. RNAcentral's name for it is "partial 16S ribosomal RNA". It matches the Rfam family "Bacterial small subunit ribosomal RNA", at positions 29 to 507 of the family's 1533-position model. The record is from RNAcentral.